AAUCGAGUGGCUUAGUGGCUAGCGCUCGCGCUUACCAAUUUCGUAUUGUGGGUUCAAUUCCGACCGGGGUCA
This is a non-coding RNA of Caenorhabditis brenneri, 72 nucleotides long. NCBI's taxonomy places the organism in Eukaryota, Metazoa, Nematoda, Chromadorea, Rhabditida, Rhabditidae. The record is from the annotation of a GenBank genome assembly.